Molecule: long non-coding RNA, 1284 nt
Filed under: Equus caballus (horse)
Lineage: Eukaryota; Metazoa; Chordata; Mammalia; Perissodactyla; Equidae
Description: lncRNA (ENSECAG00000047358.1)
Source: RNAcentral
GUCCGUUUAGUGAAGACGAUGUAUAAUCAGAGUUGUCAAUCUGUUUUAAAAUCUGAAGUUAGAUAAAUCAAAUUUGAGACCACAAGCUGAUGCAAAACAUUUAGAAAAAACUGUACAUCCCCUGAAAAUUUCAGAAGCAUAAGCACAAAUAGUUUAAGAACUAUCCAAUUGUGACAACUUGUUAGUUUAAAAAAAUCCAAUUACCAAGAUUUUUGUCCCAGAGUAGUUGCAGAAAAUUACACAAUUAGAGCAAUUUUUCUCAGCUGCUCUGCUACAGAAAACGAAAAUACCCAUCUCAACUAAAAGUUGAAGAGAGACAGCAGUGAAAAGAGAAAGCAAGAGCUGGAAGAAGAAUAAAGAACAGAGCAAAAGGCUCCACGCUCCCCAACAACACAUCUAGGAAGCUCUUGUGUAAGCCCAUGUGAGAAGGAUGGAUGGGAGAAGGCUGGGAAGUAUCUUCUGGUCACCUGCGAAUGCCUGCGAUGUAAUUGGUGCUUCUAACUGAUGGAUGUACUGAAUACCACAGAAGUGAGAAUAUGCACAUGAUGAUGAUCUGUUGUAUUACAGACGAUGUUAACUUUUUUCACUCGGUGAAGAUACUAUCUGCCAGAUCUUUCUGCUGUAAAAUCAAUUAAUAAGAGUUUCAUGAGGUGUCACUUUGAAACUACGUAAAUAUCCUAUUCCUCCUCAAUUUUUCACUCACUAGUUUAAGCAUUCAUUGAUGAUUCCUGCCUAAAUCAAUUGUUAAUAUGAAUAUUGCCAAAUAAUUUUUCUAAUUCCAUUAUUCCUUCUACAUUUAUUAGUUGACUAUCUACUAUAAAGUAGACUUUCUUUUUACCCUAUUUACUUAUGUAUUUGUUUAAAUUUGUAUAGAUCCAUGGAUUCUUAUUUUAUUCGAUGUGUUAUAAUCUAUUACUAUCAUUAUUUAUUUUAAUGUCAAUUUUUCCCAGAUUUGGCUAGUGGGAGCCCUUUCAGUUUAGCUCCUAUAUCCUUUUAACUUGUCCCUAUCAUUUUUUGAGAACUUCCUUACGUUCUGGCACAAGAUGUCCUAGGUUUAUCUGUACUUCCCUUGUUCUAACCCUGGAAUCAGCCAUUGCUCCAAGGACACCUGGUUCCUUUACAUGGAAGAUGGUAUUUAAAAACCAAGAUCUGGGGGCGAGGUAUGUUCAUUGCUAUGGAGGUAUUGCUUCUAGGCCCUCUCAACAGAAAGCUAGAAAAUAGAUGUACGUACAUACAGUCUCACAUAGACACACACAUCUAUAGUUACUUCUAUAUUUAUCUACU